RNAcentral lists this ribosomal RNA (427 nucleotides) under uncultured bacterium. RNAcentral's name for it is "bacterial SSU rRNA". It matches the Rfam family "Bacterial small subunit ribosomal RNA", at positions 355 to 774 of the family's 1533-position model. The record is from RNAcentral.
UGGGGAAUUUUGGACAAUGGGCGCAAGCCUGAUCCAGCCAUGCCGCGUGCAGGAUGAAGGCCUUCGGGUUGUAAACUGCUUUUGUACGGAACGAAAAGACUCCUUCUAAUAAAGGGGGUCCAUGACGGUACCGUAAGAAUAAGCACCGGCUAACUACGUGCCAGCAGCCGCGGUAAUACGUAGGGUGCGAGCGUUAAUCGGAAUUACUGGGCGUAAAGCGUGCGCAGGCGGUUAUAUAAGACAGGUGUGAAAUCCCCGGGCUCAACCUGGGAACUGCAUUUGUGACUGUAUAGCUAGAGUACGGCAGAGGGGGAGGGAAUUCCGCGUGUAGCAGUGAAAUGCGUAGAUAUGCGGAGGAACACCGAUGGCGAAGGCAAUCCCCUGGGCCUGUACUGACGCUCAUGCACGAAAGCGUGGGGAGCAAACA